This 253-nucleotide ribosomal RNA is filed under the name uncultured bacterium. RNAcentral describes it as "partial 16S ribosomal RNA". It matches the Rfam family "Bacterial small subunit ribosomal RNA", at positions 524 to 776 of the family's 1533-position model. The record is from RNAcentral.
UACGUAGGGUGCGAGCGUUGUCCGGAUUUAUUGGGCGUAAAGAGCUCGUAGGCGGCUUGUUGCGUCGGCUGUGAAAACCCAUGGCUCAACCGUGGGCUUGCAGCCGAUACGGGCAGGCUAGAGUUCGGUAGGGGAGACUGGAAUUCCUGGUGUAGCGGUGAAAUGCGCAGAUAUCAGGAGGAACACCGGUGGCGAAGGCGGGUCUCUGGGCCGAUACUGACGCUGAGGAGCGAAAGCGUGGGGAGCGAACAGG